Molecule: non-coding RNA, 2249 nt
Organism: Oncorhynchus mykiss (rainbow trout)
Lineage: Eukaryota; Metazoa; Chordata; Actinopteri; Salmoniformes; Salmonidae
Source: RefSeq, a predicted model, not a curated record
CAUCUUCCCACAGUCUUUCAACAAAGAGCCUCCAAAAACGUUCUAGUCAUGAGUUCCAAACCAAAGCUGAGAAAGGAGUGAGUGAGGUCCUCUCUAGAUCAUUUAACAUUGUGGAGGAAGGUACAACAGAUAAGUACCUCCAGUCUGUAUCUACAUCCACCACAUCUACUGAUAUUAUACAAACCAUGGUGAAAGACCAGCAGGAGCUCACCCAGACCACCCAAUCAUCUGACAUGGUAUCUGGAACCUCCCUGCUCACCACUGGACAGGUUUCUGAGAAAAGAAUCUGGUCUGUUGCUCGUAAAAUCUACUACAGUCUGCAAAGUAAGAUUACGGAGUUUCUCAGAAAAGAUCUUCAAAGAUCAGACACAACACUUGGUUCAAUCCAAAUCUUUACAUAUCAAAGCAGUCCUGCAUCACAAAGAGCAAGUCUCGGCCAUCUUGAGGUCAACCAGAGCAGUGUUACACCUGGUGGAAACGAUGCCUGUGUGGACAUUCCGCACAAAUUACUACCUAAAACCACUGAGCUCUCAGGAUCCAUGCUGGAGGAUAUUGACACGAUCCGUUGUAGGAGUGCUGACGGCCAAAAUACAAGAAAUACCUCUUCUUCACGCUCUUCUAUCUCUCUAACACCUACUUCAAAAUUAAGGCAGUCGAAAUGGCACUUUGCUUUACCCGGGACUCCCAUCCCCACUGAGUUUCCUGCUCAGAUUGACUUUCCCAUUGUUAGAAACACAAUCAUUGAGGACUUCUUUCACACUGAGGACUUACUUCCUGUAACCUUUGUGGACAAAGUCAGGCAAGCUGCUGGGGUGGUAGUGGACAUUAUGGUGGAAAGUGUUGAGAACACACAGGAAGAUGGACAGGGUGCUUCUCAUCCUGACGACCUCCGAUCUGCUGUUAGGAAAUUGAGAAAAAUCAUUUCCACUUGGACCAUCCACAUUUUCAGUCAUGAAUUGGUGGAUAAAGUGAUAGCCCUUCAGGACAGCCACAGCACUCCACAGGUCUUAACAUUGGAAGCAGCCAAAAGUGCUUCAGACUCCAUUCUUUCAAGGCUGAAAUGGGGAAAUGAACAAUGUGCCAUAUCCAAGGAGCUCUCCUCUCAGCUUUUCCAGAUAUUUGCUGAAGAGACAGUGAAGUGCUUCCUGAGACAGUGGUCAGAUGAGUAUGAAAACAUAAACUUUGAUGUUUCAGUCCAGAACGAUCCAAAGACUUCUACUUGCAUGGUCAUUCUUCAAAUGAUCACCAAAGCCACUGCUAAAUGUUAUUUUGAGUCCGCUACCAGCGUGGCCACCAGUGACAUUGUAGAAGGCGUGUUUGAUUUGGAAAGGGAUACCAUCAGCAGUACUGGAGAGCAGGUCCUCACCUUCAAUACAAAGGUAUAGUACACAUACAUCUUUCAUGAAUAACACUGCUGUUGACCUUUUAUAUGAUUCUUUGUGUCAUGGCAUUGCACUGCUUCUUUGCAGUUGAUAUGCUGUACUUUUAAGAUAUCGAAAACAUUUCAGUUUGUUUUAAUGUGCCUUUUCCCACCAACCAGGGUUCCAAGAAUGUUAGUAAGAACCUCUGUCCUCAAGAGUCUCUGGAGUACCAGCCUCAGAACAUUUCCCCUACUGUGUACUUUACAGAGACGAUGACAACAUCUCAUGGCUCCUUUUCUCCAGAGGGAAUUUAUUAUAUCGCAUCGUCCUUCCCACUUGAAGAGAAGAGUCGCAAACCCUCCCUUUUCACCAGAUUGUCUAGAUCCAUCACGAAAGGCUUUCUCAGCCCAUUCAAAUCUUCAAGGAAAACCAAAUUAUUUAAAUAAAUUCCUCAUUAUAACAACGAGAGCAUUCAUUUGUUCAGAUGAGAAUCUAAUUGUAUUGGUCACAUACGCCGAAAACAACUGUGAGAUGCUUUAUUACGAGCCCAUUCCCAACAAUGCAGAGUUAAAAAGUAAGAAAAUGUUUUCUAAAUAGUAACACAAUAACAAUAACAAGGCUAUAUACAAGGAGUACCAGUACCGAGUCAAUGUGCAUGGGUGCGAGGUAGUUGAGGUAAUACAGUAUGUACAUGUAGGUAAGGGUAAAAGUGACUAGUCAAUCAGGAUAGAUAAUAAACACAGUAGCAGCAGCUAGUGUGAAAGUCGGUCAGUGUCACAGUGAAUGUGUGGGUAGAGUGUAGUGAAUGUGCAUCGAGCCAAUUCAAGAGAGUCAGUGGAAAACAAUUAGAAAAAUACAUCGAUAACCAAGGGGGUCAAUGCAAAUAGU